UUUCCCGACAGUACUAUCAACAGAAUAGAAAGGAGCGUUUCAAGUUGUUAAAUGAAAUUAUCCUUCAUUUUUUUUCUACGACUUCAUUUCGUUUCUAUAGAUGGCCAGUGGACUCCAUUCCUGUAGGAAGAACUUCGUAAACUAGACGUAUUUGAAAUAUUAAAAUUUUUUUUUUGUUUGCUUAAAGGGCAACGAAAAAAAGACUAUCUACAAGUCUGCCGCACAAGACCGAUUGCAUUUCUGCUCUUCACCGUUCUUUUCCUUUCAUUAGUAUCUGUUAAUCUUUAAUAUUUCAAUGAACGUCAUCAAAAGCCAUGUCAGGAGAAGACUCGGUUGCACACCUACAACAGUAUCGCAACAUCAAAACGUCGACACACCUGCAUGCUUCUUAUUUCAAGCCGCUGCUUGUUGAACGGGGCAUGGGGAAUCAAAACCUAUCUUGGCAUCACUGACACAAAACAAGAAGUGACAGCAACUAUACCCUUGCUCUGCGUUCUGUUGGAGUGUAAAGAGUAAUUUGGACAAUGUUUGGAACUGUGCCAGGGUUCAGUGCACAGAUUAGAAAUCGUCCACAUCCAUAAUUGGUCCCGGGGCUGCUGAUUGCUACAGCUGCCACGUCCUCUUCCGCGAGGCGGCUAAAGGAGGAAGAAAGAAGGAAGAAGAAAAGGAAGAGAAAGAAAAGAGAGAGAGAGAGACGGAGGAUGCAGAAAGUAGUAUGGUGAGAGAGAACCGGUGUGAGCAGGCAUCUGGACAGUGAGCCCAAGCAGGGGUGUUUGGCCGACACUCUGUGGAGCAGAAGGAAGCAGUCACUCCAGCUGAGCGAACAAGGAGCUGGAGUGACCGGUGAAUGACGGCUGGCCGUGUAAGGCCGGGAAGGCAGCGGGAGUCGGGACUUGGGACAUGGAUUCCCCAGCGUAAGAGCCCUGGUCGUUGGGGAUCCCAAGUCGCUGUUUGGUGAAGCCUAUUGGAGCCAGGGAUCGAUCAGACGAACCAACCAGUAGAAGCAGGCAGAGAAGGUCAGCCACUGCAGAAUAGCGACUCUCCUGUUGCGAGGACCAUGUGGGAGAAGCAGGGGAGCUGACAGCUGAAAGACACCGGGCUUUGUUCUUUUAAAAAGACUACUUCCAACGUUGUUUUAACCUUGUCGUCGUUUUAAGGGAUUGUUUUUUUUUCUAUGGUGUUUUUAACCUCCACUUCAGCACUUGUUUUAUGGAUUAUUUAUUUAAUGAC
This is a long non-coding RNA of Polypterus senegalus (gray bichir), 1230 nucleotides long. RefSeq lists it as uncharacterized. NCBI's taxonomy places the organism in Eukaryota, Metazoa, Chordata, Cladistia, Polypteriformes, Polypteridae. The transcript is spliced from 3 exons. The record is from RefSeq and is a predicted model, not a curated record.